UACAGAGGUCCCAAGCGUUGUUCGGAUUCACUGGGCGUAAAGGGUGCGUAGGCGGUGAGAUAAGUCUGGUGUGAAAGCUCGGAGCUCAACUCCGAAAUGUCAUUGGAAACUAUCUCACUCGAGGUUUGGAGGGGGGACUGGAAUUCUCAGUGUAGCAGUGAAAUGCGUAGAUAUUGAGAGGAACACCAGUGGCGAAGGCGAGUCCCUGGACAAAUCCUGACGCUGAGGCACGAAAGCUAGGGGAGCAAACAGG
Molecule: ribosomal RNA, 253 nt
Filed under: uncultured bacterium
Lineage: Bacteria
Description: partial 16S ribosomal RNA
Rfam family: Bacterial small subunit ribosomal RNA
Source: RNAcentral